GAUGAACGCUAGCGAUAGGCCUAACACAUGCAAGUCGAGGGGCAUCACAUGAAGUAGCAAUACGGAUGGUGGCGACCGGCGCACGGGUGAGCAACGCGUAUGCAACCUACCUACAACAGGGGAAUAACUCGUUGAAAGACGGACUAAUACCCCAUAAUACAGGGAUCCCGCAUGGGAAUAUUUGUUAAAGAUUUAUCGGUUGUAGAUGGGCAUGCGUUCCAUUAGCUAGUUGGUGAGGUAACGGCUCACCAAGGCAACGAUGGAUAGGGGAACUGAGAGGUUUAUCCCCCACACUGGUACUGAGACACGGACCAGACUCCUACGGGAGGCAGCAGUGAGGAAUAUUGGUCAAUGGACGCAAGUCUGAACCAGCCACGUCGCGUGAAGGAAGACGGCCCUACGGGUUGUAAACUUCUUUUGUAAGGGAAUAAAGUGUAGUACGUGUACUAUUUUGCAUGUACCUUACGAAUAAGGAUCGGCUAACUCCGUGCCAGCCGCCGCGGUAA
This 506-nucleotide ribosomal RNA is filed under the name uncultured bacterium. Its description in RNAcentral is "partial 16S ribosomal RNA". It matches the Rfam family "Bacterial small subunit ribosomal RNA", at positions 28 to 523 of the family's 1533-position model. The record is from RNAcentral.